AGAAUCAACGCUGGCGGCGUGCCUAACACAUGCAAGUCGAACGAGAAAGUGGAGCAAUCCAUGAGUAAAGUGGCGUACGGGUGAGUAACACGUGACUAACCUACCCUCGAGUGGGGAAUAACCUCGGGAAACCGGGGCUAAUACCGCAUAACAUCUUCGGAUCAAAUGCGUAAGCAGCUUGAGGAGGGGGUCGCGGCCGAUUAGCUAGUUGGCGGGGUAAUGGCCCACCAAGGCAAUGAUCGGUA
RNAcentral lists this ribosomal RNA (245 nucleotides) under uncultured bacterium. RNAcentral describes it as "partial small subunit ribosomal RNA". It matches the Rfam family "Bacterial small subunit ribosomal RNA", at positions 26 to 285 of the family's 1533-position model. The record is from RNAcentral.